CCUACGGGUGGCAGCAGUGGGGAAUAUUGCACAAUGGGCGCAAGCCUGAUGCAGCCAUGCCGCGUGUAUGAAGAAGGCCUUCGGGUUGUAAAGUACUUUCAGCGGGGAGGAAGGCGAUAAGGUUAAUAACCUUGUCGAUUGACGUUACCCGCAGAAGAAGCACCGGCUAACUCCGUGCCAGCAGCCGCGGUAAUACGGAGGGUGCAAGCGUUAAUCGGAAUUACUGGGCGUAGAGCGCACGCAGGCGGUCUGUCAAGUCGGAUGUGAAAUCCCCGAGCUCAACCUGGGAACUGCAUUCGAAACUGGCAGGCUGGAGUCUUGUAGAGGGGGGUAGAAUUCCAGGUGUAGCGGUGAAAUGCGUAGAGAUCUGGAGGAGUACCGGUGGCGAAGGCGGCCCCCUGGACGAAGACUGACGCUUAGGUGCGAAAGCGUGGGGAGCAAACAGGAGUAGAUACCCCGGUAGUC
Molecule: ribosomal RNA, 465 nt
Filed under: uncultured bacterium
Lineage: Bacteria
Description: bacterial SSU rRNA
Rfam family: Bacterial small subunit ribosomal RNA
Source: RNAcentral